GCCAAAUAUCAUUAAAGGAACUCGUUUGCUAAUCGACAACACUCGCUAAUUUUCACUUGUUUAAAUUAAGCUUAUAUACCGCCGUCAAAAUUAUUUUUAUAAAAAUAAUUUUCUUCAACCAAAAAAUGUCAGGUCAAGGUAUAGCCCAUAAAUAAGAACAAAUAAGUUACUAUAAAAUUUAUUUAUAGAAAUAAAUCAAACUUACAUAAAAUAGGAUUUAACAACAAUAUUUUACUAUUAAUUUAAUAUGAAAUUGCUCUAAC
This 263-nucleotide ribosomal RNA is filed under the name Dysdera lantosquensis. RNAcentral describes it as "partial 12S ribosomal RNA". Lineage: Eukaryota; Metazoa; Arthropoda; Arachnida; Araneae; Dysderidae. The record is from RNAcentral.